UUCGAUAGAGGCGCGGGAUUCAUCAGUACCGCUUCGCAAGGCCAGCACGCCGCGCAGCGCGAAAGGGGAGACCGCCGAAGUAGGAAGCCGGGGUUCUGACCGCUUCCCGCUGGGUCGGCAGAGAACAUCUGCCGGACUGUCACAGAAAUUUUUUGUGAAGCGCUAUCA
RNAcentral lists this non-coding RNA (168 nucleotides) under human gut metagenome. RNAcentral describes it as "Lysine riboswitch". It matches the Rfam family "Lysine riboswitch aptamer". Rfam says of the family: Riboswitches are metabolite binding domains within certain messenger RNAs that serve as precision sensors for their corresponding targets. RNAcentral also lists the same sequence under 2 other names. The record is from RNAcentral.